GGAGAAGGAGGAAGAGCGAGUGUUUAAUAGGAACCAGCUGUCAUAUCAUUGUAGCUAUAAAUAGUGCCUGCCAUUAUCAUCCCCAUUGCACAGAGGAGAAAAUUGAAGCUCAGAGAGAUGAAGCAGCUUGCCCAAGGUCACACAGCUUGUCAAGAGCUAAUAGAUGUGGAAACUGAGGCUUGAAGAAGGGAAGACACUUGCCCAAAGCUGCGCAGCUGGUCAGCAGCAGGAAUGGAGUUUAAAUCUGAUUCAUCUGGCCUGAAUGCUCAGUUCUCUAAGGCUGUCUCCUAGAGUCCACUGGCAUCUACCCAUCCAACCAGCAUGCUAGGGAGGAACCCACAACCCCUACAAUUCAUAAGAUUAACACAAAUGGACGUUUCAGAAAUCUGGGCCAGAUGGUUUGGGAGAAUAAACCACCAAUCAAGGCAGAUGG
RNAcentral lists this small RNA (433 nucleotides) under Pan troglodytes (chimpanzee). RNAcentral describes it as "processed transcript". The record is from RNAcentral. Lineage: Eukaryota; Metazoa; Chordata; Mammalia; Primates; Hominidae.